Long non-coding RNA from Strongylocentrotus purpuratus (purple sea urchin), 485 nucleotides. RefSeq lists it as uncharacterized. The transcript is spliced from 3 exons. The record is from RefSeq and is a predicted model, not a curated record. Lineage: Eukaryota; Metazoa; Echinodermata; Echinoidea; Camarodonta; Strongylocentrotidae.
ACCACCCAUUGCCUAAAAACUAGUGGCUGUGUCAUUACAUUCUCUCAUUGUCAACAUCAUCACUAUCAGUUUGGUACAGAGGAAAAAGAAGAUGGAUCGUGAACGAUUUAUUUCGUGGCCCUGUGUUCUUAUAUUUUUACUUCCGUUUUGUCAAAUAGGAGCGUUGCAGAAUGUUCCUCCUCCCGGUGUCGCUCUGGGUAUGGAAAGUGGAGCCAUCCAAGAUUCAAGCCUGACAGCAUCUAUGUAAAUCUGGGUUAUGGCCCCGAGAGAGGACGCCUGAACAUAGAUUCAGCCUGGUUUGGAGGUACUAGCGCUAAAUCAUCAUGGAUCCAGGUUGAUCUGUCCACUACUUAUCGUAUCACUGGAGUCGCAACACAAGGUCGUUGGGACGUUGCCCAAUGGGUUACAAGCUUUAAGGUAGCAUGCAGCAUAGACGGUAUUACGUUCGAUAUAGUACAAGACGCCCUCAACCAGCCCGUAGCCGA